Molecule: ribosomal RNA, 254 nt
Filed under: uncultured bacterium
Lineage: Bacteria
Description: partial 16S ribosomal RNA
Rfam family: Bacterial small subunit ribosomal RNA
Source: RNAcentral
UACGGAGGGUGCAAGCGUUAUCCGGAAUCACUGGGUUUAAAGGGUGCGUAGGCGGUUGCGUAAGUCAGUUGUGAAAUUCCCCGGCUUAACCGGCGGGAGUGCGAUUGAUACUGCGUAACUUGAAUCAGGUUGAGGUAGGCGGAAUGCGACAUGUAGCGGUGAAAUGCAUAGAUAUGUCGUAGAACACCAAUUGCGAAGGCAGCUUGCUGGACCUGAAUUGACGCUGAGGCACGAAAGCGUGGGGAGCAAACAGG